This 253-nucleotide ribosomal RNA is filed under the name uncultured bacterium. RNAcentral describes it as "partial 16S ribosomal RNA". It matches the Rfam family "Bacterial small subunit ribosomal RNA", at positions 524 to 776 of the family's 1533-position model. The record is from RNAcentral.
UACGAAGGGGGCUAGCGUUGCUCGGAAUCACUGGGCGUAAAGCGCACGUAGGCGGAUUGUUAAGUCAGGGGUGAAAUCCUGGAGCUCAACUCCAGAACUGCCUUUGAUACUGGCGAUCUUGAGUCCGGGAGAGGUGAGUGGAACUGCGAGUGUAGAGGUGAAAUUCGUAGAUAUUGGCAAGAACACCAGUGGCGAAGGCGGCUCACUGGCCCGGUACUGACGCUGAGGUGCGAAAGCGUGGGGAGCAAACAGG